ACCCUUUAAUGUUUGAUGUUCUAACGUGGACCCGUAAUCCGGGUUGCGGACAGUGUCUGGUGGGUAGUUUGACUGGGGCGGUCUCCUCCUAAAGAGUAACGGAGGAGCACGAAGGUUGGCUAAUCCUGGUCGGACAUCAGGAGGUUAGUGCAAUGGCAUAAGCCAGCUUGACUGCGAGCGUGACGGCGCGAGCAGGUGCGAAAGCAGGUCAUAGUGAUCCGGUGGUUCUGAAUGGAAGGGCCAUCGCUCAACGGAUAAAAGGUACUCCGGGGAUAACAGGCUGAUACCGCCCAAGAGUUCAUAUCGACGGCGGUGUUUGGCACCUCGAUGUCGGCUCAUCACAUCCUGGGGCUGAAGUAGGUCCCAAGGGUAUGGCUGUUCGCCAUUUAAAGUGGUACGCGAGCUGGGUUUAGAACGUCGUGAGACAGUUCGGUCCCUAUCUGCCGUGGGCGCUGGAGAACUGAGGGGGGCUGCUCCUAGUACGAGAGGACCGGAGUGGACGCAUCACUGGUGUUCGGGUUGUCAUGCCAAUGGCACUGCCCGGUAGCUAAAUGCGGAAGAGAUAAGUGCUGAAAGCAUCUAAGCACGAAACUUGCCCCGAGAUGAGUUCUCCCUGAGACUUAGAGUCUCCUGAAGGAACGUUGAAGACGACGACGUUGAUAGGCCGGGUGUGUAAGCGCAGCGAUGCGUUGAGCUAACCGGUACUAAUGAACCGUGAGGCUUAACCUUACAACGCCGAAG
This 741-nucleotide ribosomal RNA is filed under the name Salmonella enterica subsp. enterica serovar Thompson. RNAcentral describes it as "partial 23S ribosomal RNA". It matches the Rfam family "Bacterial large subunit ribosomal RNA", at positions 2202 to 2925 of the family's 2925-position model. The record is from RNAcentral. Lineage: Bacteria; Pseudomonadati; Pseudomonadota; Gammaproteobacteria; Enterobacterales; Enterobacteriaceae. RNAcentral also lists the same sequence under 13 other names.